Molecule: ribosomal RNA, 445 nt
Filed under: uncultured bacterium
Lineage: Bacteria
Description: bacterial SSU rRNA
Rfam family: Bacterial small subunit ribosomal RNA
Source: RNAcentral
UCCAGACUCCUACGGGAGGCAGCAGUGGGGGAUAUUGCACAAUGGGGGAAACCCUGAUGCAGCGACGCCGCGUGGGUGAAGAAGCGCCUCGGCGCGUAAAGCCCUGUCAGCAGGGAAGAAAAUGACGGUACCUGAAGAAGAAGCCCCGGCUAACUACGUGCCAGCAGCCGCGGUAAUACGUAGGGGGCAAGCGUUAUCCGGAUUUACUGGGUGUAAAGGGAGCGUAGACGGUCCUGCAAGCCAGAUGUGAAAGCCCGGGGCUCAACCCCGGGACUGCUCUGGAAACUGCGUCGCUGGAGUACGGGAGGGGCAGGCGGAAUUCCUGGUGUAGCGGUGAAAUGCGUAGAUAUCAGGAGGAACACCGGCGGCGAAGGCGGCCUGCUGGACCGUGACUGACGUUGAGGCUCGAGAGCGUGGGGAGCAAACAGGAUUAGAUACCCGCGUA